GAGUAACGCGUAUGCAACCUACCUAUCGAGACGGGGAAUAACCCGGCGAAAGUCGGACUAAUACCGCAUAAAACAGGGGCACCGCAUGGUGAUAUUUGUUAAAGAAAUUCGCUGAUAGAUGGGCAUGCGUUCCAUUAGGUAGUUGGUGGGGUAACGGCUCACCAAGCCGACGAUGGAUAGGGGAACUGAGAGGUUGGUCCCCCACACUGGUACUGAGACACGGACCAGACUCCUACGGGAGGCAGCAGUGAGGAAUAUUGGUCAAUGGGCGGGAGCCUGAACCAGCCAAGUCGCGUAGAAGGAAGAAGGAUCUAUGGUUCGUAAACUUCUUUUGCAGGGGAAUAAAGUGCAGGACGUGUCCUGUUUUGUAUGUACCCUGAGAAUAAGGAUCGGCUAACUCCGUGCCAGCCGCCGC
RNAcentral lists this ribosomal RNA (415 nucleotides) under uncultured bacterium. RNAcentral's name for it is "bacterial SSU rRNA". It matches the Rfam family "Bacterial small subunit ribosomal RNA", at positions 108 to 518 of the family's 1533-position model. The record is from RNAcentral.